Molecule: unclassified non-coding RNA, 411 nt
Filed under: Lessingia arachnoidea
Lineage: Eukaryota; Viridiplantae; Streptophyta; Magnoliopsida; Asterales; Asteraceae
Description: partial external transcribed spacer
Source: RNAcentral
UUGGUUUGAUACGGGUGGUCGGCUCCCUGCUUGAGCAGGCACGGCCACGCGUGCAUUCCUUUUCAGCUGUGCGGCAAGGCUUGUAUAGUCUUGAUCGUAUAAGUGGGUUUCCUGUGUUGCAUACCUGAUCAACGGCAUCGUUUCGAUCAAAAAGCUUACCUUUUUCGUCUAGUGUUGCACCCGCACCAUUGGAUGAACCACGUAGCAUUCUCUUUGAUCCAUACAAUUGACAUUCAUUGUUAGUUGUUUGGCCCAUUGAGCGUGUCUUGGUCCCUUGAAUAUGGAAGCCAAAGUGGGCACGGGAUCGUAAGAUCCGUUUAGUGCCCUAAUUGAGCGUUUUCGCUUCUCUUACACGACUGCCUCUCACGUAUGGCACGUCCCAGCGUGUUUGGCUAUGUCGAAGAGGAAUGU